UCCAAACAUGCUGGUAUUUACAUCUAUCUUGCUUAUUGUUAACAUUUACCUUUUUACCGGUCCAACUAUCUGGUAUCUGAACUCGAGAUAUCUGAUUAAUGAUGGAGAGAUCUAAGUUCUCAACUAUACCACUGCCUUUUGUGGUAUUGCUAAUGUUUGCCAAUUGCCUUUGAUGAGGUUGUUAAUGUUUACCUUUUUAUCGGUCCAACUAUCUGGUAUCUGAAUUCGUGCCGGAUAAGUCCACUAGAUGGAUAAAGCUUCCAAACAAAAAGCUAUCGAACUCGAGGUAUCUGAUUAAUGAUGGAGAGAUCCAAGUUCUCAACUAUACCGCUGCCUUUGGUGGUAUUGUUAAAUGUUUACCAAUUGCCUUUGAUGAAUAAAUUAAUGGUUGGAUCUAAUCCCUUUUCUUGUAUGAACUUGGUUCAAAUUUCUGUUUUCAGUGCAGAAUUUAAAGAUCAUUCUUUCUGAUACUUCUCUU
This 478-nucleotide long non-coding RNA is filed under the name Nicotiana benthamiana. RNAcentral's name for it is "long non-coding RNA (NBEN_LNC014148)". Lineage: Eukaryota; Viridiplantae; Streptophyta; Magnoliopsida; Solanales; Solanaceae. The record is from RNAcentral.